CUGGUGAGCUCGUGUGGCGUGUGGAUGUGAUGUUCCAGGGAAGCUGCAGUGCCCAAGAUUCUGAGCGAGCCCGACUUCAACUCUUGUGUUGACCCACGGACUUCGCUAGUCAGUGUCAGUUGACAAGCGAUCGCUCGUGCAUCUCAACUAUUUGAAGUUGAAAUUAACGCAAUUCUCUUUCAUCAGUUUGUGUCAAUGCCAUCUUGGUGAUUUUUGUGGUCGACUUGAACUAAACUUUCAGCUCUUAAACCAUUUUUCCUCAAUCAUAAAUUACAGGCGAAAAUUAUUCUCACAAAAUUUAAUUUUUUUGGUCAGAAUCAACACCUAAUAAUUUUUUUAUCGGAAAAAAGACACAUUUUGUUGGUAAAGAAGAGAAGAAGCGAGCAUCAUGAACCGAGCUCGCUCCGUAUCACAUCUACUGGCACGUCUGCCGCCAGCCAUCACCACCAAUUCCCCCGCCCUCCUGCAGUCACAUGUACCUGGUGCUCGGCUGAAGUCGUCGGCGCCUCCUCCUCCUCCAGCGAACACGGCUCUGGCGGCCGAGCCUUUCCUUAAUGGCUCGUCUUCGGCUUACGUCGAGGAGAUGUACCGAUGCUGGAUGCAGGACCCAUCGUCGGUA
Long non-coding RNA from Hyalella azteca, 619 nucleotides. RefSeq lists it as uncharacterized. The record is from RefSeq and is a predicted model, not a curated record. The transcript is spliced from 3 exons. NCBI's taxonomy places the organism in Eukaryota, Metazoa, Arthropoda, Malacostraca, Amphipoda, Hyalellidae.